Molecule: ribosomal RNA, 433 nt
Filed under: uncultured Alphaproteobacteria bacterium
Lineage: Bacteria; Pseudomonadati; Pseudomonadota; Alphaproteobacteria
Description: bacterial SSU rRNA
Rfam family: Bacterial small subunit ribosomal RNA
Source: RNAcentral
AGAGUUUGAUCAUGGCUCAGAACGAACGCUGGCGGCAUGCCUAACACAUGCAAGUCGAACGCCAUCCUCUGGAUGGAGUGGCGCACGGGUGAGUAACGCGUGGGAACCUGCCUUUUUCUGCGGGACAACGAUUGGAAACGAUCGCUAAUACCGCAUACGCCCUACGGGGGAAAGGUCCGCCGGAGAGAGAGGGGCCCGCGUUUGAUUAGCUAGUUGGUGGGGUAAUGGCUCACCAAGGCGACGAUCAAUAGCUGGUCUGAGAGGAUGAUCAGCCACACUGGGACUGAGACACGGCCCAGACUCCUACGGGAGGCAGCAGUGGGGAAUAUUGGACAAUGGGGGCAACCCUGAUCCAGCAAUGCCGCGUGUGUGAUGAAGGCCUUAGGGUUGUAAAGCACUUUCACUGGCGAAGAUGAUGACGGUAACCAGAGAA